CAGUCGAACGGAAGAAUACGGCGACGAGAUUUCGGUCAAAUCAAGUGUAUCUUUAGUGGCGGACGGGUGAGUAACGCGUGGGUAACCUGCCAUAUACAGGGGGAUAACACUUAGAAAUAGGUGCUAAUACCGCAUAAGCGCACAUGGCCGCAUGGCCAGGUGUGAAAAACUCCGGUGGUAUAUGAUGGACCCGCGUCUGAUUAGCUAGUUGGUGAGGUAACGGCCCACCAAGGCGACGAUCAGUAGCCGGCCUGAGAGGGUGGACGGCCACAUUGGGACUGAGACACGGCCCAAACUCCUACGGGAGGCAGCAGUGGGGGAUAUUGGACAAUGGGGGGAACCCUGAUCCAGCGACGCUGCGUGAGUGAAGAAGUAUCUCGGUAUGUAAAGCUCUAUCAGCAGGGAAGAAAGAAAUGACGGUACCUGAGUAAGAAGCCCCGGCUAACUACGUGCCAGCAGCCGCGGUAAUACGUAGGGGGCAAGCGUUAUCCGGAAUUACUGGGUGUAAAGGGAGCGUAGACGGUGAUGUAAGUCUGGAGUGAAAGGCGGGGGCCCAACCCCCGGACUGCUCUGGAAACUAUAUGACUGGAGUGCAGGAGAGGUGAGCGGAAUUCCUAGUGUAGCGGUGAAAUGCGUAGAUAUUAGGAGGAACACCAGUGGCGAAGGCGGCUCACUGGACUGUAACUGACGUUGAGGCUCGAAAGCGUGGGGAGCAAACAGGAUUAGAUACCCUGGUAGUCCACGCUGUAAACGAUGGAUGCUGGAUGUCGGGGAGUAAUCCCCGGUGUCGUAGCCAACGCGAUAAGCAUCCCGCCUGGGGAGUACGGUCGCAAGGC
RNAcentral lists this ribosomal RNA (836 nucleotides) under uncultured bacterium. RNAcentral's name for it is "bacterial SSU rRNA". It matches the Rfam family "Bacterial small subunit ribosomal RNA", at positions 59 to 894 of the family's 1533-position model. The record is from RNAcentral.